This 572-nucleotide long non-coding RNA is filed under the name Homo sapiens (human). RNAcentral's name for it is "HSALNT0409364". Lineage: Eukaryota; Metazoa; Chordata; Mammalia; Primates; Hominidae. The record is from RNAcentral.
CUACAAUGUCUCUCUUAUCUGAAGUAAAUAUAAUUUGAUGAAUACAAUUAAGGAAAAUUGACCUAAGGUGAAAGGACAAAUCAAAACAUCUGUGCAAUAUGCUAUCUGUGGGAGCAUUUGGUUACUGUUGUAACAUAAACUAACCAAACAGUUUUAUUAUUUAUUAUUUUAAUAAUCAAAACUGGCAAACUUCCUACUAAGCCCCCUAAAGUAUGAGAGGUCUAACCAGCAGGUAUAGACUUUUCAGGAGGGAGAAAUGAGGCUGCAAUUUUGAGGGGCUCUUCUGGAACAUGUCUGGAAGAUGAAUGUUGAGGAACAGUGUGGGCUUUGGUGUACUCAGAUGAUGUCUGUCAUGGGGAGGCAGGAAGUCAAUGCUCAGAAUCUGGGCUGGUGUCUUUGAGGUCAGUAGUUUUGGGAAAUUCUAGAAAGUCUGGUUGGAAACCUCAUUAAGGCCUCUUGCCUGGUACUUGAAUGCCCAAUUUGCAGUCUGAACCACAUAGAGCUGGGUUUUCAUUUAUAUCAGCACAUCCUUAUGUCAGUGUUAAGGGAGUGGCCAGGACAAGUGUCUUGGG